This 72-nucleotide transfer RNA is filed under the name Ovis aries (sheep). It matches the Rfam family "tRNA". From Rfam's summary of the family: Transfer RNA (tRNA) molecules are approximately 80 nucleotides in length. The record is from Rfam by way of RNAcentral. Lineage: Eukaryota; Metazoa; Chordata; Mammalia; Artiodactyla; Bovidae.
UCCCAGGUGGCUCAGAGGGUAAAGAGUCUGCCUGCAAUGCAGAAGACCUAGGUUCCAUCUCUGGGUUGGGAU